This 253-nucleotide ribosomal RNA is filed under the name uncultured bacterium. Its description in RNAcentral is "partial 16S ribosomal RNA". It matches the Rfam family "Bacterial small subunit ribosomal RNA", at positions 524 to 776 of the family's 1533-position model. The record is from RNAcentral.
UACGUAGGGGGCAAGCGUUGUCCGGAUUUAUUGGGCGUAAAGGGCGUGUAGGCGGCCUGACAGGUCUGCUGUGAAAACUCGAGGCUCAACCUCGAGAUGUCGGCGGAAACCGUCUGGCUAGAGUCCGGAAGAGGAGAGUGGAAUUCCUGGUGUAGCGGUGAAAUGCGCAGAUAUCAGGAAGAACACCUAUGGCGAAGGCAGCUCUCUGGGACGGUACUGACGCUGAGACGCGAAAGCGUGGGGAGCGAACAGG